Molecule: long non-coding RNA, 2429 nt
Organism: Zingiber officinale
Lineage: Eukaryota; Viridiplantae; Streptophyta; Magnoliopsida; Zingiberales; Zingiberaceae
Exons: 4
Source: RefSeq, a predicted model, not a curated record
ACUCCUUCAUUCGAAUUUCCUCCACCUUCAUCUGCCCCCUCCGCCUCUUCCUCUUCGCCUUCGGUCAUCCAAUCGGGGCCUUAAUGGCGGUGGCGAUUCGGAAGGUCUCUGGAUCCGUGCUUCAUCGCUCCGGAGGAUCCUGCUCCAGCUGCCGCAGCCCGGACCUCCAGGAAGAUCGCCCGCUCUCAGCCAUCUCAACCUCAUUCUCAUCUACGUCUUCGUGCAGAUCCAAUCGCGGCCUUAAUGGCGGCGAUUCUGCAGAAGGUCUUCGGAUCGGUGCUCCAUCGCUCCGGAUCCUGCUCCAAUCUAAUCAGGGUCCGUCCUAAUGGCGGUUGUCCUGCGGAAGGUCUUCGGAUCGAUGCUCCAUCUCUCCGGAUCCAACUCCGGCGGCCUGUACCUGGACCACAUGAAUGACCACCCGCCCCUAGGCGAUCUCAACCUCAUUCCCACCGACUUCUUUGCGCAGAUCCAUUCACAGCCUUAAUGGCGGUGGUGCUGCGGAAGGUCUUCGGAUCUGUGCUCCAUCUAGAGCUGCGGAAGACACUCUGCUAUGUGGCUGCUGACUGAGGCAGAGCUACAGCCUACAGAAGGUUACUGAAGCUUCAUGUUAAAAUAGGGAUCACUUUUUCGAAAGAGCAGUUUAAAAAUAGGGAAAUCGUUUUCCAAACAUUACAGGCGCGCUACGCACGCUCGGUUUUACAUCGUGCUGUGGCUCUCUGCAUGGAUCAUUGCUUGGCUGGUGUAGUCCCAAGCGACCACAAAUGGUUUCAAACUGGGGUUUUGGCUGAUGGAAGUGGUUGUUUACACGGACUGCCAGGUAUGCUAACUAUUUCAGUUCCUGUCUUUUAUUAAUUCUAAUAUCUCAGCGCAUGUAGGUGUCAAGUUCACUUCUGACAAAUAAAAGGAAAGAAAUGAACAAUAGUUUUCGAUUAGCAUAGAUGCAAGCGACAGAGGGAGUCAAUUAAAAAGAACAAUCUUUAGGCUCAGUCUAACCAUAGUGAGCAAAUAAUGGGGAAGGAGAGAGUACCAAUUAAAUUAGGAAGCGUGAUGACUCUUGAUGUGACCCUAAAAUUUCACCAAUAGUUCAAUAGGUAAGUGUAUCUUGCGUGGGAAUUAAAUCCUCAUUGCUUAGGAAAUGCACCACCGCACUAAGCCCUGGGGUUAGGAGUAUUAUUAGGUAAAAUUGAUAAAGGGAAUAAAUUUUACAACCAUUUUACCUUUUCCCCUCUUCCUCUCCUGUGUGUCCAGUCCACCUAGCUUUUGGCUGGACGAGUUUCACGCAGCAGGAGGGCACUAUGGACUAUUCCCUCUCCUCUCCCUAUGUGGAGCAAACAGGCCCUUAGUUAAGUUAAUGAGAAAUGAUUUAUUUGAUUAAGUAUAUUACUAAUGAUUCAUCUUUAAUAGUACUCAAUGCAAAGAUAAUAACUAAUCUUAAUUAGUUACGGCAAAUCCUAGUGACGAUUAUGAUGAUGACUAUGACUUAUCUUCUAAAUUGCUCUGGAUGAACUGUUAUUAUCUAUUUAUGCAUCUAAUAACAUAAAAUUCUUGUCUCAUCAAUUGAAAAUUUUCAUAGAUUCACCUUUCCUCCGUGUCAUUCUAGGUCCAUGUGUUUAUGAUUCUACUUCAAAAAUUGUGAAUUGUGCACAAUCCAUGUGAGUUGCUACUACCUGUUCGAUCGACGACUCAUAGGGAGAGAACUAGCGAGUCACAUCUCAGAGCUACACAUUAUAACUUGAUCAUGUCAUUAUCCGAUUGAUCCCUUAUUUUGCGGAAAAGUGCGCCUAGUAGUGAGAGCUUGAGAGUGAGAUCACUGCGAUCCCAAGCGAGAGAAUUUAAGGCUGUUUGCUUAUUAUAUUGAUAGGAAUGCAAACAUGUAAACAAUGUUAGCACUAAUACUACGCCUCAAGUACGAUAGGUAUUCCAUAAGAGAGGCAGGGAUCUUACAGCAAUUGUCUUAUGAAAGCCUUUCUACAUGACAAAUAUGGUGUCAAUGCUUGCCGGUGUUAAGUAUCUGUUAUAUGACUAUGCAGUGACAUAGAUUAGGUUUCACACAAUCACAUAAUGCCAAAGUAUUAUAUAUGGCUUCGGUGAUGCAUGGCGUGUUGUUAUGAAGAAACGAUUCCACCGGAUGCAACAUAGCAACGCCUAUCUGGUAAUAUUGCUUUGUAAUUAAUCCUGAUUUUGAUCAUUUACUGGAGUGGAUUUUAGAUGCCACCUCGUUCAUGCAGCACGGUUGCAUCAAAUCAAGAAAUAUUUUUUAAAAAACAAAUAAAUAAUUUAUGUGGGCCUUGACUUUAAAUUUAGAUAUUUGUAAAUAAAAAAAACUCAUGAUUAGCUUUUGAUCAUUUGUUACUUGAAACUAUUCUUACUUUUCAUUUGCUUUUCUUUCGUUUUUUUUUUUUUUUUUUUUGCAAAGUAUAUUGAGAGAA